CGGAUUGGGUCGUUGGUCACAGAGAGGAGGGCUUGUGCGCCCGAAAUGGAGAAGGGGGCGAAGCGCGGGGAGAGUCGAGAGUCGUAAAUCUCAUUUCAACUGAAGGAGGAGACAAGUACCCGGGAAUUUUCUUCAAGCCUAGACAUCAAGGGAGUUAAUGGAGCCUAGACGUCUUAAGGAGGCCUCAGCUGCUGAUGCCUGUUACUCCACAGAGUGCACAGAUUGCAGCCCCCCAGCUGUCAUCAGGACUCACCCCUGCCGUCUAGAAGCACCUUCUCUUAAAAACCUGCCCUCUCUCGUCCCAUCCACCUGCCCACCAGAACCAAC
Molecule: long non-coding RNA, 327 nt
Organism: Labeo rohita (rohu)
Lineage: Eukaryota; Metazoa; Chordata; Actinopteri; Cypriniformes; Cyprinidae
Exons: 3
Source: RefSeq, a predicted model, not a curated record